GUGGGGAAUCUUGCGCAAUGGGCGAAAGCCUGACGCAGCCAUGCCGCGUGAAUGAUGAAGGUCUUAGGAUUGUAAAAUUCUUUCACCGGGGACGAUAAUGACGGUACCCGGAGAAGAAGCCCCGGCUAACUUCGUGCCAGCAGCCGCGGUAAUACGAAGGGGGCUAGCGUUGCUCGGAAUUACUGGGCGUAAAGGGCGCGUAGGCGGACAGUUUAGUCAGAGGUGAAAGCCCAGGGCUCAACCUUGGAAUUGCCUUUGAUACUGGCUGUCUUGAGUACGGGAGAGGUGAGUGGAACUCCGAGUGUAGAGGUGAAAUUCGUAGAUAUUCGGAAGAACACCAGUGGCGAAGGCGACUCACUGGCCCGUUACUGACGCUGAGGCGCGAAAGCGUGGGGAGCUAACAGGAUUAGAAACCCGAGUAGUCC
RNAcentral lists this ribosomal RNA (425 nucleotides) under uncultured bacterium. RNAcentral describes it as "partial 16S ribosomal RNA". It matches the Rfam family "Bacterial small subunit ribosomal RNA", at positions 354 to 796 of the family's 1533-position model. The record is from RNAcentral.